Molecule: unclassified non-coding RNA, 165 nt
Filed under: soil metagenome
Description: partial internal transcribed spacer 1
Source: RNAcentral
CAAGAAUCGAGGCUGACACUGCCUAGUGACUAGGCAGUGUCCAGUCCCGCUCUUUACCUUGCCUACUGCACCGUUUGUUGCUUCCUGGCGGCGGCGUCCCGUCGCCAGGUGCUUUUGAAAACCCCAAGUGUAAGCAUUGAAACUUCUGACAUACGCUAAAUCGUA